CAGUAGCCGCGGGAAUACGUAGGGUGCAAGCGUUAAUCGGAAUUACUGGGCGUAAAGCGUGCGCAGGCGGUUAUAUAAGACAGAUGUGAAAUCCCCGGGCUCAACCUGGGAACUGCAUUUGUGACUGUAUAGCUAGAGUACGGCAGAGGGGGAUGGAAUUCCGCGUGUAGCAGUGAAAUGCGUAGAUAUGCGGAGGAACACCGAUGGCGAAGGCAAUCCCCUGGGCCUGUACUGACGCUCAUGCACGAAAGCGUGGGGAGCAAACAGGAUUAGAUACCCCAGUAGUCCCUGUCUCUUAUAC
Molecule: ribosomal RNA, 301 nt
Filed under: uncultured bacterium
Lineage: Bacteria
Description: partial 16S ribosomal RNA
Rfam family: Bacterial small subunit ribosomal RNA
Source: RNAcentral